UUUAAAGAGAGUUUGAUCCUGGCUCAGGACGAACGCUGGCGGCGUGCCUAAUACAUGCAAGUCGAACGAACGGAGGAAGAGCUUGCUCUUCCAAUGUUAGUGGCGGACGGGUGAGUAACACGUGGGCAACCUGCCUGUAAGUUGGGGAUAACUCCGGGAAACCGGGGCUAAUACCGAAUGAUAAAGUGUGGCGCAUGCCACGCUUUUGAAAGAUGGUUUCGGCUAUCG
This 228-nucleotide ribosomal RNA is filed under the name Listeria monocytogenes. RNAcentral describes it as "partial 16S ribosomal RNA". It matches the Rfam family "Bacterial small subunit ribosomal RNA", at positions 1 to 223 of the family's 1533-position model. Lineage: Bacteria; Bacillati; Bacillota; Bacilli; Caryophanales; Listeriaceae. The record is from RNAcentral.